UCUCCGUUGGUGACCAGCGGAGGGAUCAUUACCGAGUUUACAACUCCCAAACCCAAUGUGAACGUUACCAAACUGUUGCCUCGGCGGGAUCUCUGCCCCGGGUGCGUCGCAGCCCCGGACCAAGGCGCCCGCCGGAGGACCAACCAAAACUCUUAUUGUAUACCCCCUCGCGGGUUUUUUUAUAAUCUGAGCCUUCUCGGCGCCUCUCGUAGGCGUUUCGAAAAUGAAUCAAAACUUUCAACAACGGAUCUCUUGGUUCUGGCAUCGAUGAAGAACGCAGCGAAAUGCGAUAAGUAAUGUGAAUUGCAGAAUUCAGUGAAUCAUCGAAUCUUUGAACGCACAUUGCGCCCGCCAGUAUUCUGGCGGGCAUGCCUGUCCGAGCGUCAUUUCAACCCUCGAACCCCUCCGGGGGGUCGGCGUUGGGGAUCGGCCCUGCCUUGGCGGUGGCCGUCUCCGAAAUACAGUGGCGGUCUCGCCGCAGCCUCUCCUGCGCAGUAGUUUGCACACUCGCAUCGGGAGCGCGGCGCGUCCACAGCCGUUAAACACCCAACUUCUGAAAUGUUGACCUCGGAUCAGGUAGGAAUACCCGCUGAACUUAAGCAUAUCA
RNAcentral lists this ribosomal RNA (607 nucleotides) under Trichoderma harzianum. RNAcentral describes it as "eukaryotic LSU rRNA". The stretch from base 233 to 386 matches the Rfam family "5.8S ribosomal RNA". Lineage: Eukaryota; Fungi; Ascomycota; Sordariomycetes; Hypocreales; Hypocreaceae. The record is from RNAcentral.